This 601-nucleotide ribosomal RNA is filed under the name uncultured bacterium. Its description in RNAcentral is "bacterial SSU rRNA". It matches the Rfam family "Bacterial small subunit ribosomal RNA", at positions 64 to 632 of the family's 1533-position model. The record is from RNAcentral.
GAGCGAGCAGAACCAGCAGAUUUACUUCGGUAAUGAUGCUGGGGACGCGAGCGGCGGAUGGGUGAGUAACACGUGGGGAACCUGCCCCAUAGUCUGGGAUACCACUUGGAAACAGGUGCUAAUACCGGGUAAGAAAGCAGAUCGCAUGAUCAGCUUAUAAAAGACGGCGUAAGCUGUCGCUAUGGGAUGGCCCCGCGGUGCAUUAGCUAGUUGGCAAGGUAACGGCUUACCAAGGCAAUGAUGCAUAGCCGAGUUGAGAGACUGAUCGGCCACAUUGGGACUGAGACACGGCCCAAACUCCUACGGGAGGCAGCAGUAGGGAAUCUUCCACAAUGGACGCAAGUCUGAUGGAGCAACGCCGCGUGAGUGAAGAAGGUUUUCGGAUCGUAAAGCUCUGUUGUUGGUGAAGAAGGAUAGAGGUAGUAACUGGCCUUUAUUUGACGGUAAUCAACCAGAAAGUCACGGCUAACUACGUGCCAGCAGCCGCGGUAAUACGUAGGUGGCAAGCGUUGUCCGGAUUUAUUGGGCGUAAAGCGAGCGCAGGCGGAAGAAUAAGUCUGAUGUGAAAGCCCUCGGCUUAACCGAGGAACUGCAUCGGAAA